ACGAACGCUGGCGGCGUGCCUAAUACAUGCCAGUCGAACGAACCGCGACUAGGUGCUUGCACUUGGUCAAGGUGAGUGGCGAACGGGUGAGUAACACGUGGGUAACCUACCUCAUAGUGGGGGAUAACAGUCGGAAACGACUGCUAAUACCGCAUAGGACAUAGGAUCACAUGAUUCUGUGAGGAAAGGUGGCGCAAGCUAUCGCUAAGAGAUGGACCCGCGGUGCAUUAGCUAGUUGGUAGGGUAAAGGCCUACCAAGGCGAUGAUGCAUAGCCGACCUGAGAGCGUGAUCGGCCACAUUGGGACUGAGACACGGCCCAAACUCCUACGGGAGGCAGCAGUAGGGAAUCUUCCGCAAUGGACGCAAGUCUGACGGAGCAACGCCGCGUGAGUGAAGAAGGUCUUCGGAUCGUAAAGCUCUGUUGUUAGAGAAGAACAGCGCAUAGAGUAACUGUUAUGCGUGUGACGGUAUCUAACCAGAAAGCCACGGCUAACUACGUG
This 501-nucleotide ribosomal RNA is filed under the name uncultured bacterium. RNAcentral's name for it is "partial 16S ribosomal RNA". It matches the Rfam family "Bacterial small subunit ribosomal RNA", at positions 29 to 507 of the family's 1533-position model. The record is from RNAcentral.